Molecule: long non-coding RNA, 428 nt
Organism: Poecilia latipinna (sailfin molly)
Lineage: Eukaryota; Metazoa; Chordata; Actinopteri; Cyprinodontiformes; Poeciliidae
Exons: 2
Source: RefSeq, a predicted model, not a curated record
UUAAUAACCUAAGUGUUGGGUUAUCAGGUAAAUUAUUUUCCCGCUGUCAUUGAUGACCUCAUUCAGGGCGGAGCCUGUUGCAAUUAAUCACCUGUGUUGCAAUUCAGUCAGUGACGGUUUGGGUCACCAUGUUGUUUGCUGAUUCUGGUCCACUGGGUUUUCUCAAGUCCAGUCAAUGCAGACGUCUACCAGGACAUUCUGCUGAUGAGCUGAACGGAGAGGCUGAUUUGAUUUUCCUGCCCAUGCAGCCAAAGGUACUAAAAGACGAUGGCGUUCCUGUUCCUGAUUGGCCAGCAAACUCCCCUGACCUUUAACCCCAUAGAGAAACUAUGUGCUGUGGUCAAGAGGAAGAUGAAAGACACCAAAGGAGCCCCAACCAAAUACUGAGUGCAUAGAAACGAUGCUUUUCAGAAGUCUAUUUCUUGGAA